UGGGGAAUAUUAGGCAAUGGGCGAAAGCCUGACCUAGCGACGCCGCGUGAGGGAAGAAGGUUUUCGGAUUGUAAACUCCUGUCUUAAGGGACGAUAAUGACGGUACCUUAGGAGGAAGCUCCGGCUAACUACGUGCCAGCAGCCGCGGUAAUACGUAGGGAGCGAGCGUUGUCCGGAAUUACUGGGUGUAAAGGGAGCGUAGGCGGGAUUGCAAGUCAGAUGUGAAAUGUAUGGGCUUAACCCAUAAACUGCAUUUGAAACUGUAGUUCUUGAGUGAAGUAGAGGUAAGCGGAAUUCCUAGUGUAGCGGUGAAAUGCGUAGAUAUUAGGAGGAACAUCGGUGGCGAAGGCGGC
This 353-nucleotide ribosomal RNA is filed under the name uncultured Ruminococcus sp. RNAcentral's name for it is "bacterial SSU rRNA". It matches the Rfam family "Bacterial small subunit ribosomal RNA", at positions 355 to 725 of the family's 1533-position model. The record is from RNAcentral. Lineage: Bacteria; Bacillati; Bacillota; Clostridia; Eubacteriales; Oscillospiraceae.